UUAUUAAACUUUUCAAAUUGUACAUAAUAAACAUUUACGGAAGUCGGAUUAUACAUUGAAAAUGCAUAUUGAGCCCAAGGUGCAUCACAGGAGGUUGGUGACACCUUGAUUGGGGAGGACGGUCUCGUUGUAAUGGCUGGAGCAGAAUCAGUGGAACACAUCAAACACUGUUGUCCGUGUGUUUGUCAUCAGCUAUUAACGAUGAGCCGUCCUCCCCUCAUCAGCGCCCCACUGAGGUCUCCACCAAACCCUGGUCACAGCCAUUAACGAUGAGCCGUCCUCCCCUCAUCAGCGCCCCACUGAGGUCUCCACCAAACCCUGGUCACAGCCAUUAACGAUGAGCCGUCCUCCCCUCAUCAGCGCCCCACUGAGGUCUCCACCAAACCCUGGUCACAUCCAUUAACGAUGAGCCGUCCUCCCCUCAUCAGCGCCCCACUGAGGUCUCCACCAAACCCUGGUCACAGCCAUUAACGAUGAGCCGUCCUCCCCUCAUCAGCGCCCCACUGAGGUCUCCACCAAACCCUGGUCACAGCCAUUAACGAUGAGCCGUCCUCCCCUCAUCAGCGCCCCACUGAGGUCUCCACCAAACCCUGGUCACAGCCAUUAACGAUGAGCCGUCCUCCCCUCAUCAGCGCCCCACUGAGGCCUCCACCAAACCCUGGUCACAGCCAUUAACGAUGAGCCGUCCUCCCCUCAUCAGCGCCCCACUGAGGUCUCCACCAAACCCUGGUCACAGCCAUUAACGAUGAGCCGUCCUCCCCUCAUCAGCGCCCCACUGAGGUCUCCACCAAACCCUGGUCACAGCCAUUAACGAUGAGCCGUCCUCCCCUCAUCAGCGCCCCACUGAGGUCUCCACCAAACCCUGGUCACAGCCAUUAACGAUGAGCCGUCCUCCCCUCAUCAGCGCCCCACUGAGGUCUCCACCAAACCCUGGUCACAGCCAUUAACGAUGAGCCGUCCUCCCCUCAUCAGCGCCCCACUGAGGCCUCCACCAAACCCUGGUCACAUCCAUUAACGAUGAGCCGUCCUCCCCUCAUCAGCGCCCCACUGAGGCCUCCACCAAACCCUGGUCACAGCCAUUAACGAUGAGCCGUCCUCCCCUCAUCAGCGCCCCACUGAGGUCUCCACCAAACCCUGGUCACAGCCAUUAACGAUGAGCCGUCCUCCCCUCAUCAGCGCCCCACUGAGGUCUCCACCAAACCCUGGUCACAUCCAUUAACGAUGAGCCGUCCUCCCCUCAUCAGCGCCCCACUGAGGUCUCCACCAAACCCUGGUCACAGCCAUUAACGAUGAGCCGUCCUCCCCUCAUCAGCGCCCCACUGAGGUCUCCACCAAACACAAAGGUUUAAGAACUUUAAAAAAUAUAAAUAAAAUAGAGGUCUUGAACACAUUCAAAUGUCAUAUCAGGUUGUAUUGAAGCCUAUGAGUUUCAGAGUAUGUUUGUUUUUAAACAAAAUCCUAAUGAUUAAACAAAAACAGAUGUCGGCUAAAAGAAGAACAUCUCCCUUUAUGUAUAAAUCAUGUGACAAAUUGACAUCAUUACCAUCCUGGAAUAAACACAAUUUGACUUCA
Long non-coding RNA from Oncorhynchus keta (chum salmon), 1572 nucleotides. RefSeq lists it as uncharacterized. The record is from RefSeq and is a predicted model, not a curated record. Lineage: Eukaryota; Metazoa; Chordata; Actinopteri; Salmoniformes; Salmonidae. The transcript has 4 exons.